Molecule: ribosomal RNA, 880 nt
Filed under: Salmonella enterica subsp. enterica serovar Agona
Lineage: Bacteria; Pseudomonadati; Pseudomonadota; Gammaproteobacteria; Enterobacterales; Enterobacteriaceae
Description: partial 23S ribosomal RNA
Rfam family: Bacterial large subunit ribosomal RNA
Source: RNAcentral
CGCAGGGAAACCGAGUCUUAACCGGGCGUUAAGUUGCAGGGUAUAGACCCGAAACCCGGUGAUCUAGUCAUGGGCAGGUUGAAGGUUGGGUAACACUAACUGGAGGACCGAACCGACUAAUGUUGAAAAAUUAGCGGAUGACCUGUGGCUGGGGGUGAAAGGCCAAUCAAACCGGGAGAUAGCUGGUUCUCCCCGAAAGCUAUUUAGGUAGCGCCUCGUGAAUUCAUCUCCGGGGGUAGAGCACUGUUUCGGCUAGGGGGCCAUCCCGGCUUACCAACCCGAUGCAAACUGCGAAUACCGGAGAAUGUUAUCACGGGAGACACACGGCGGGUGCUAACGUCCGUCGUGAAGAGGGAAACAACCCAGACCGCCAGCUAAGGUCCCAAAGUCAUGGUUAAGUGGGAAACGAUGUGGGAAGGCCCAGACAGCCAGGAUGUUGGCUUAGAAGCAGCCAUCAUUUAAAGAAAGCGUAAUAGCUCACUGGUCGAGUCGGCCUGCGCGGAAGAUGUAACGGGGCUAAACCAUGCACCGAAGCUGCGGCAGCGACACUCAGGUGUUGUUGGGUAGGGGAGCGUUCUGUAAGCCUGCGAAGGUGGCCUGUGAGGGUUGCUGGAGGUAUCAGAAGUGCGAAUGCUGACAUAAGUAACGAUAAAGCGGGUGAAAAGCCCGCUCGCCGGAAGACCAAGGGUUCCUGUCCAACGUUAAUCGGGGCAGGGUGAGUCGACCCCUAAGGCGAGGCCGAAAGGCGUAGUCGAUGGGAAACGGGUUAAUAUUCCCGUACUUGGUGUUACUGCGAAGGGGGGACGGAGAAGGCUAUGUUGGCCGGGCGACGGUUGUCCCGGUUUAAGCGUGUAGGUGUGUGUUCCAGGUAAAUCCGGUU